AUGGGUCAGCGACUUAUAUUCUGUAGCAAGGUUAACCGAAUAGGGGAGCCGGAGGGAAACCGAGUCUUAACCGGGCGUUAAGUUGCAGGGUAUAGACCCGAAACCCGGUGAUCUAGCCAUGGGCAGGUUGAAGGUUGGGUAACACUAACUGGAGGACCGAACCGACUAAUGUUGAAAAAUUAGCGGAUGACCUGUGGCUGGGGGUGAAAGGCCAAUCAAACCGGGAGAUAGCUGGUUCUCCCCGAAAGCUAUUUAGGUAGCGCCUCGUGAAUUCAUCUCCGGGGGUAGAGCACUGUUUCGGCUAGGGGGCCAUCCCGGCUUACCAACCCGAUGCAAACUGCGAAUACCGGAGAAUGUUAUCACGGGAGACACACGGCGGGUGCUAACGUCCGUCGUGAAGAGGGAAACAACCCAGACCGCCAGCUAAGGUCCCAAAGUCAUGGUUAAGUGGGAAACGAUGUGGGAAGGCCCAGACAGCCAGGAUGUUGGCUUAGAAGCAGCCAUCAUUUAAAGAAAGCGUAAUAGCUCACUGGUCGAGUCGGCCUGCGCGGAAGAUGUAACGGGGCUAAACCAUGCACCGAAGCUGCGGCAGCGACACUGUGUGU
This 605-nucleotide ribosomal RNA is filed under the name Salmonella enterica subsp. enterica serovar Enteritidis. RNAcentral describes it as "partial 23S ribosomal RNA". It matches the Rfam family "Bacterial large subunit ribosomal RNA", at positions 615 to 1221 of the family's 2925-position model. The record is from RNAcentral. Lineage: Bacteria; Pseudomonadati; Pseudomonadota; Gammaproteobacteria; Enterobacterales; Enterobacteriaceae.